Molecule: ribosomal RNA, 447 nt
Filed under: uncultured bacterium
Lineage: Bacteria
Description: bacterial SSU rRNA
Rfam family: Bacterial small subunit ribosomal RNA
Source: RNAcentral
GCCAGACUCCUACGGGAGGCAGCAGUGGGGGAUAUUGCACAAUGGGGGAAACCCUGAUGCGGCGACGCCGCGUGAGUGAAGAAGUAUUUCGGUAUGUAAAGCUCUCUCAGCAGGGAAGAAAAAAGACGGUACCUGACUAAGAAGCCCCGGCUAACUACGUGCCAGCAGCCGCGGUAAUACGUAGGGGGCAAGCGUUAUCCGGAUUUACUGGGUGUAAAGGGAGCGUAGACGGCAAUACAAGUCGGAAGUGAAAUACCCGGGCUCAACCUGGGAACUGCUUUGGAAACUGUAUGGCUGGAGUGCUGGAGAGGUAAGCGGAAUUCCUAGUGUAGCGGUGAAAUGCGUAGAUAUUAGGAGGAACACCAGUGGCGAAGGCGGCUUACUGGACAGUAACUGACGUUGAGGCUCGAAAGCGUGGGGAGCAAACAGGAUUAGAUACCCGGGUAC